This 330-nucleotide ribosomal RNA is filed under the name uncultured eukaryote. Its description in RNAcentral is "partial 18S ribosomal RNA". It matches the Rfam family "Eukaryotic small subunit ribosomal RNA", at positions 1470 to 1796 of the family's 1831-position model. The record is from RNAcentral.
CCCUUAGAUGUUCUGGGCCGCACGCGUGCUACACUGAUGCAUUCAACGAGUCUAAAACCUGGUCUGAUAGGGCUGGGUAAUCUUUUGAAAGUGCAUCGUGAUUGGGAUAGAUGAUUGCAAUUCUUCAUCUUCAACGAGGAAUGCCUAGUAAACGCAAGUCAUCAGCUUGCAUUGAUUACGUCCCUGCCCUUUGUACACACCGCCCGUCGCUCCUACCGAUUGAAUGAUCCGAUGAAUACCAUGGAUUGAGAGUACGAAUAGGUUCGCUUAUUUCUGCCUCUCGAGAAGUGGAGUAAAUCUUAUCAUUUAGAGGAAGGAGAAGUCGUAACA